AUGAACGCUGGCGGCGUGCCUAAUACAUGCAAGUCGAGCGAACGGACGAGAAGCUUGCUUCUCUGAUGUUAGCGGCGGACGGGUGAGUAACACGUGGAUAACCUACCUAUAAGACUGGGAUAACUUCGGGAAACCGUAGCUAAUACCGGAUAAUAUUUUGAACCGCAUGGUUCAAAAGUGAAAGACGGUCUUGCUGUCACUUAUAGAUGGAUCCGCGCUGCAUUAGCUAGUUGGUAAGGUAACGGCUUACCAAGGCAACGAUGCAUAGCCGACCUGAGAGGGUGAACGGCCACACUGGAACUGAGAAACGGUCCAGACUCCUACGGGAGGCAGCAGUAGGGAAUCUUCCGCAAUGGGGGAAAGCCUGACGGAGCAAAGCCGCGUGAGUGAUGAAGGUCUUCGGAUCGUAAAACUCUGUUAUUAGGGAAGAACAUAUGUGUAAGUAACUGUGCACAUCUUGACGGUACCUAAUCAGAAAGCCACGGCUAGCUACGUG
Molecule: ribosomal RNA, 496 nt
Filed under: uncultured bacterium
Lineage: Bacteria
Description: partial 16S ribosomal RNA
Rfam family: Bacterial small subunit ribosomal RNA
Source: RNAcentral